AGUGAACGCUGGCGGUAGGCCUAACACAUGCAAGUCGAACGGCAGCACAGGAGAGCUUGCUCUCUGGGUGGCGAGUGGCGGACGGGUGAGGAAUACAUCGGAAUCUACCUUUUCGUGGGGGAUAACGUAGGGAAACUUACGCUAAUACCGCAUACGACCUUCGGGUGAAAGCAGGGGACCUUCGGGCCUUGCGCGGAUAGAUGAGCCGAUGUCGGAUUAGCUAGUUGGCGGGGUAAAGGCCCACCAAGGCGACGAUCCGUAGCUGGUCUGAGAGGAUGAUCAGCCACACUGGAACUGAGACACGGUCCAGACUCCUACGGGAGGCAGCAGUGGGGAAUAUUGGACAAUGGGCGCAAGCCUGAUCCAGCCAUACCGCGUGGGUGAAGAAGGCCUUCGGGUUGUAAAGCCCUUUUGUUGGGAAAGAAAAGCAGCCAGUUAAUACCUGGUUGUUCUGACGGUACCCAAAGAAUAAGCACCGGCUAACUUCGUGCCAGCCGCCGCCGUAA
This 506-nucleotide ribosomal RNA is filed under the name uncultured bacterium. RNAcentral's name for it is "partial 16S ribosomal RNA". It matches the Rfam family "Bacterial small subunit ribosomal RNA", at positions 29 to 523 of the family's 1533-position model. The record is from RNAcentral.